RNAcentral lists this transfer RNA (68 nucleotides) under Dremomys rufigenis fuscus. RNAcentral describes it as "tRNA-Trp". The record is from RNAcentral. Lineage: Eukaryota; Metazoa; Chordata; Mammalia; Rodentia; Sciuridae.
AGGAAUUUAGGUUAAAUCAGACCAAGAGCCUUCAAAGCUCUAAGUAAGUAAUUANUACUUAAUUCCUG